RNAcentral lists this ribosomal RNA (487 nucleotides) under uncultured bacterium. Its description in RNAcentral is "bacterial SSU rRNA". It matches the Rfam family "Bacterial small subunit ribosomal RNA", at positions 66 to 563 of the family's 1533-position model. The record is from RNAcentral.
GGCGGAAGUUUUCGGAUGGAAGCUUGUAAACUUGGUGGCGGACGGGUGAGUAACACGUGAGCAACCUGCCUAUCAGAGGGGGAUAACGAUUGGAAACGAUCGCUAAUACCGCAUGACAUAGCGGAAUCGCAUGGUUCUGUUAUCAAAGAUUUUAUCGCUGAUAGAUGGGCUCGCGUCCGAUUAGAUAGUUGGUGGGGUAACGGCCUACCAAGUCGACGAUCGGUAGCCGGACUGAGAGGUCGAACGGCCACAUUGGGACUGAGACACGGCCCAGACUCCUACGGGAGGCAGCAGUGGGGGAUAUUGCACAAUGGGGGAAACCCUGAUGCAGCGACGCCGCGUGAGGGAAGACGGUCCUCUGGAUUGUAAACCUCUGUCUUCGGGGACGAAACGAGACGGUACCCGAGGAGGAAGCCACGGCUAACUACGUGCCAGCAGCCGCGGUAAUACGUAGGUGGCAAGCGUUGUCCGGAAUUACUGGGUGUAA